This 1261-nucleotide long non-coding RNA is filed under the name Mus musculus (house mouse). RNAcentral describes it as "long non-coding RNA chr10:128060999-128062260". Lineage: Eukaryota; Metazoa; Chordata; Mammalia; Rodentia; Muridae. The record is from RNAcentral.
UCUGCACUGCUAGAGGCCAGGCCUGAAGAGAAUGUUGGAUACCCUGGAGCUAGAGGUUUGUGAAUCACCAUGUGGGUGCUGGGGCUAGAACCCUGGGUCCUCUGGAAGAGCAGCCAGCGCUUUUAACCCUUGAGCCAUCUUUCCAACCUUUGUGUGUGUGGGUGCUCUUGUUUGUUUUUGUCUGUUUUGAUUUUUAGGUUUUUUUUUUUUUUUUGGUUUUUUGAGACAGGGUUUCUCUGUGUAGACCAGGCUGGCCUUGAACUCAGAAAUCCGCCUGCCCCCUGAGUGCUGGGAAUAAAGGCGUGCACCACCACGCCCAGCUUUUUUUUUUUUUUUUUUUUUGAGACAAGUUCUCCCUGUGUAGCUCUGGCUAUCCUGGAACUUGGGCUGGAGAUACACCUGCCUCUGCCUCCCUGAGUUCUAGGAUUAAAGGUGUACAACUCCUGAUCCUAUUACCUUCUUUAAAGGGAUUGUUUUUUGAGAAAGCGUCUAUGCUGCCCUAGGUGGCCUAACCUCCCAAUAUGUGGGAGGAUCCCCCUUGAACUCCUACUCUUUCCCUCCACUUCCUAAUUAUUUGGGAUUAUAGGUGAACCCAAUAGGAUUAUAUAUUGGGAUUAUAUAAGAUCAAGGCCAGAUAGGUCUAUAUAGUGUGCACACAUCUCAUUUAUUUUUGUUUUUUGUGAUGAGGUUUCUGUGUGGACCAGGUUUGCACCAUUGUGCACAUUUUGAAGAGGUCAGAUACCUGGUCUUUUUAAAAUGGUCAUUCUACAGGGUUAAAGAGGUGGCUCAUCCUUUAGCAGAGGAUCUGGGUUCAAUUCUCAAACCCCACAUGGUGGUUGACAACAGUACCAGAUUUCAGGGGAUCAGGGUUAGGAACCCUCUUCUGGCUUCCGUGGACACUGGGUAUAUAAGCAGUGUCCUUAUGUACAUGUAGGCAAAAAACACGUAAAGUAAAUAGGAACAACUCCUUCAAUGAUAAAAAUGUUCACUAUAUACCAUUUUGUAAACAUCAAGUCAUUUAUGUAACUAUUGACGUAGAAUUCUAAAGUGAAAUUGGAAAAUUCUGGUUGAUAGUGUAUAGUUUAAUGUUUGCUGUAAACAGACUUUUUCUUUGAGAUAGGAUAGGGUCUUACUAUAUAUAGCCCCGGCUAUAAUCUCACUGUAUGGUCCUGGAACUCAUGUAGACCAAGGUGGACUUGAACUCAAGAUCAGACUGCCUCUGCCUUCUAGGUAUUGGGAUUAAAAGUUAAAUUCCACAAUG